AGAACACUCUUAGCACCCUACAAGCAGGUAUGUGCUUACCAGCAAACUAAAGCAAAUGGAAAUUAUGAAGCAUGAUCGCCACUAGCGAGGUGCUGCUGAACUAUAAGGCUUCAGAUGGUCAGAUAAAGUACCUGAUGCUGAAAAACAGGAAAUUGAAUCUUGUCUCCAAAAUGUGCCUUUUGUCAUGCACUGUUACAGCUAUAUUUCUUGUAACUACAUUCAGCCUGCAGCCAAGAUAAAGAAUUUUGUGAUACACACUUCAUCUUCCAUCUCUGCUUUCAAAAGAUGUGAAUUCUGCAAACCAGACAGAAGAGGGAGCUAUCCAUCUGGAAAUUAACCAAGCCUUUCAAAAACGUCAAAUAAAUAUAGAAGAAAAUUCUAAUAUAAUCAAGUCUUAUUUAGUCUUGUAUUUUAUAAAAACACUACAAUUUUUC
This 434-nucleotide long non-coding RNA is filed under the name Rhinopithecus roxellana (golden snub-nosed monkey). Its description in RNAcentral is "lncRNA (ENSRROG00000045846.1)". Lineage: Eukaryota; Metazoa; Chordata; Mammalia; Primates; Cercopithecidae. The record is from RNAcentral.